CGCGUGCUCCGUCGUCUCCGUCUUCGUCUUCGUCUUCCUCUUCAGCCACGGCUCCACCGACUUGUACUGCUGGUAGAAGCUGGUCAGGUCGACGACGAGGUCCCUCACGACGUACAUGUGGGGCAGCGGCGUCACCGUCGUGGCCGACGAGGUGUCGGUGUCCACGGGCCUGAGGCACGCCACGGUGUUCACCCCGUCGAUGCACAUGGAGCACGACCCGCAGAUGCCCUCCCGGCACGACCGCCGGAACG
This 251-nucleotide long non-coding RNA is filed under the name Oryza sativa (Asian cultivated rice). RNAcentral describes it as "long non-coding RNA (OSAT_LNC001643)". The record is from RNAcentral. Lineage: Eukaryota; Viridiplantae; Streptophyta; Magnoliopsida; Poales; Poaceae.